This is an RNA transcript of Columba livia (rock pigeon), 5808 nucleotides long. It is a transcript of the gene named glutamate ionotropic receptor AMPA type subunit 3, with no coding region annotated. NCBI's taxonomy places the organism in Eukaryota, Metazoa, Chordata, Aves, Columbiformes, Columbidae. The record is from RefSeq and is a predicted model, not a curated record. The transcript is spliced from 17 exons.
CAGCCCCGGGCCGGCCCACGCCAGGCCGCCGAGCUGCCUCCCACCGCAGCCCCGAGCGCUGCCGCCGCCGCCGGGAGACGCCAGCGCCGGGGCUGGGCGGGCGGGCCGAGCCGAGCGGUUGCCAGCCCGCCUCACGCCAAGUUUGAUCGAUAACCCCCUCCCGGCCCGGGCGGAGCAGCCUCGCCGGCUCCGCUACCCACCAUCUUUGGGGGAAGUCCCUGCGCUGGGGGGGGGCUGCUGGAGACGGGGGGAGAGAGGCAAGCUCGCAGCCAGUGAGCCCUCCCAGGCUGGGGUGAAGACAAGAGGAGAGGGAUUUGGGGAAGAAAAAAGAAAAAAAAAAAAAGGAAGAAAGGAGGGGAACCAUCCCUGCCACUACCUCCGCCAGCAUCGCCACCACCAUUGACACUACUCCGAGUCUCCAGUUGCGCCCAUGCCUGUGCCGCCAGUUUCGUUUUAGGGGCUGAACUGCAGGGGCUGAAGAAAAUGGGGCAGAACGCACCCCGGACCCUCCUGCUGCUGCUGGCGGGGCUGCUGGGGGAGGCUCUGGCGGGGUUCCCCAACACCAUCAGUAUAGGUGGACUUUUCAUGAGGAACACUGUUCAGGAGCACAGUGCAUUUCGAUUUGCUGUGCAGUUAUACAACACAAACCAAAAUACCACAGAAAAGCCCUUCCAUUUGAACUAUCACGUAGAUCACUUGGACUCUUCCAACAGUUUUUCAGUGACAAAUGCUUUCUGUUCACAGUUUUCCAGAGGAGUUUAUGCCAUCUUUGGAUUCUAUGACCAGAUGUCAAUGAACACGCUGACGUCAUUUUGUGGAGCCCUUCACACAUCCUUCGUCACACCCAGCUUCCCAACAGAUGCCGAUGUGCAGUUUGUCAUCCAGAUGCGGCCAGCAUUAAAAGGAGCCAUCUUGAGUCUCUUGGCUCAUUAUAAGUGGGAAAAGUUUGUGUACCUCUAUGACACUGAACGGGGAUUUUCCAUUCUUCAGGCAAUUAUGGAAGCAGCAGUACAGAACAACUGGCAAGUGACAGCCAGAUCUGUAGGAAGCAUAAAGGAUGUUCAAGAGUUCAGAAGAAUUAUAGAGGAGAUGGACAGGCGGCAAGAAAAAAGAUACUUAAUUGACUGUGAAGUAGAGAGAAUCAACACCAUUUUGGAACAGGUUGUAAUCCUCGGCAAACAUUCUAGAGGCUAUCAUUACAUGUUAGCUAACCUGGGGUUCACAGACAUUGUUCUGGAGAGAGUAAUGCAUGGAGGUGCCAACAUUACUGGAUUCCAGAUUGUUAAUAAUGAAAACCCAAUGGUUCAACAGUUUCUGCAACGCUGGGUGAGGCUUGAUGAAAGAGAAUUCCCUGAAGCCAAAAACUCGCCAUUAAAGUAUACGUCUGCACUGACCCAUGAUGCAGUCCUUGUCAUAGCAGAGGCUUUCCGUUACCUCCGAAGACAACGUGUGGAUGUCUCCAGGAGAGGCAGUGCUGGAGACUGCCUGGCUAACCCUGCAGUACCGUGGAGCCAAGGAAUUGAUAUAGAAAGAGCUCUGAAAAUGGUGCAAGUUCAAGGAAUGACAGGGAACAUCCAGUUCGACACCUACGGGCGGAGAACAAAUUACACAAUUGAUGUGUAUGAAAUGAAAGCCGCUGGGUCACGGAAGGCUGGUUAUUGGAAUGAGUAUGAAAGAUUUGUGCCAGCAUUGGAUCAGCUGCCCUCUAAUGACACUUCAUCUGUGGAGAACAGAACUAUAGUAGUCACUACCAUCUUGGAAUCACCAUAUGUAAUGUAUAAGAAAAACCAUGAACAACUAGAAGGGAAUGAGAGAUAUGAAGGAUAUUGUGUAGACUUAGCUUCUGAAAUAGCAAAACAUGUUGGAAUAAAAUACAAACUGUCAAUUGUUGGAGAUGGGAAAUAUGGAGCUAGGGACCCUGAGACUAAGAUAUGGAAUGGCAUGGUGGGUGAACUGGUCUAUGGGAGAGCAGAUAUAGCUGUUGCUCCCCUCACCAUAACAUUGGUGCGAGAAGAAGUCAUAGACUUUUCCAAACCCUUUAUGAGCCUGGGCAUCUCCAUCAUGAUCAAGAAGCCUCAGAAAUCUAAACCAGGCGUAUUCUCUUUCCUGGAUCCUUUGGCUUAUGAAAUUUGGAUGUGUAUAGUCUUUGCUUACAUUGGCGUCAGCGUAGUUCUUUUCCUAGUCAGCAGAUUCAGCCCUUACGAGUGGCAUUUGGAAGACAGCACUGAAGAACCACGUGACCCUCAGAAUCCUCCCGACCCUCCAAAUGAGUUUGGAAUAUUUAACAGCCUUUGGUUUUCCCUGGGUGCCUUUAUGCAGCAAGGAUGCGAUAUUUCUCCAAGAUCUCUCUCAGGGCGAAUUGUUGGAGGAGUCUGGUGGUUCUUCACUCUCAUCAUUAUCUCUUCCUACACUGCUAAUCUUGCUGCCUUCCUAACGGUGGAGAGGAUGGUUUCUCCCAUAGAGAGCGCAGAGGACCUGGCUAAACAAACCGAAAUAGCUUAUGGCACUUUGGAUUCAGGCUCAACCAAAGAAUUCUUUAGAAGGUCAAAAAUAGCCGUCUACGAGAAAAUGUGGUCGUACAUGAAGUCGGCCGAGCCCUCGGUGUUCACCAAAACGACGGCGGACGGGGUGGCACGGGUGCGGAAGUCGAAGGGCAAGUUCGCCUUCCUGCUGGAGUCGACGAUGAACGAGUACAUCGAGCAGCGCAAGCCCUGCGACACCAUGAAAGUCGGCGGCAACCUGGAUUCCAAGGGCUAUGGUGUAGCAACCCCCAAAGGCUCAGCAUUAAGAAAUGCUGUUAACCUGGCAGUAUUAAAACUGAAUGAGCAAGGCCUCUUGGACAAAUUGAAAAACAAAUGGUGGUACGACAAAGGAGAGUGCGGCAGCGGGGGAGGUGACUCCAAGAACUCCUGUAAACCUUGCAGUAUUGAAACUCAGUGAACAAGGCAUCUUAGACAAGCUGAAAAACAAAUGGUGGUACGAUAAGGGUGAAUGUGGAGCCAAGGACUCCGGAAGUAAGGACAAGACGAGCGCUCUGAGCCUCAGCAAUGUUGCCGGGGUGUUCUACAUCCUGGUCGGGGGCCUGGGCCUGGCCAUGAUGGUGGCGCUGAUCGAGUUCUGCUACAAGUCUCGGGCCGAGUCCAAGCGCAUGAAACUCACCAAGAACACGCAGAACUUCAAACCCGCUCCCGCCACCAACACCCAGAAUUACGCGACGUACAGAGAAGGCUACAACGUGUACGGCACAGAAAGUGUGAAAAUCUAGGGAUCCUCACCCUGACAGCACGCAAGAGGAGGAGCAGCAGAGAAUGCGGCUACUUCACAGAUUCGGACCACCUGAGCCAGUUGUACUCUCUCCGAGGUGUCAGGCAUGACACGAGUUGAUGAUGGUGCAAUGUACUUUUAAUAGGAAAAACUGAUAUUUUUUUUCCUUCAGUGCCUUAUGGAAGACUCUGAGACUCACAACAAUGCAAACCAUCACUGAAAUAUUCUUGCUUUGCCUGAAAGAAGAAAAAGAAGAUAAAAGAAAAGAAAAUAAAAUAAUAAUAAAAAAAAAAGAAAAUAAAUAGAAAAUAAGAGAAAGAAAAUGGAAAGGAAAGGAAAGGAAAGGAAAGGAAAGGAAAGGAAAGGAAAGGAAAGGAAAGGAAAGGAAAGGAAAGGAAAGGAAAGGAAAGGAAAGGAAAGGAAGAAGGAAAGGAAAGGAAAGGAAAGGAAAAAGGAAAGAAAGAAAAGAGAAAAGUAAAGAAAGAAAAGAGAAAAGGAGAAGUAGUAGUACUGGUAAUGACAUAUUAGUAUGGGGGAAAAAAAGAAUCUUGUAAAAACAAAAAUCAGUGCAACAAAAGCCAUUCUUUGAUACCACUGCACAGUAAAUGAACUUGUGUCCUGGAAGCAAACCGCAGCCGGUUUCAUCAGCCACCCGAUCGUAUUGAAUUACGAAACUCCUCCUGACACAAAGCCUCAGAAUCUGCUGCGUGCGAACACAGACUGGCCUGUCACUGCUUGUCUGAGCUGAUGUCAAGAUGUUUCAGUAUUUACUUACCAGUGGUGUGAUUUAUUUUUUUCUGAGCCAUUUUAAACACUCCAGCUAACUUGAGCAGUUCUGUAUAGCAGUAAAAGCUGUAACACCUGACGAAAAGAAUCUGUGCGUUAAAACCAGCUAAGGUCAAUGACUCUGAACCUGUAAAUCCAACAGAAAGUAAUUUGUGGAACUGCAUGUCUUGCUUCCAGAUCAGUAAAUUAACAUAUUGGGAAGGUAGCUAAAGUGCGGGCAGAAAAUAUUGCAUUCCAUAGUUUUUUUUCUCCUAUCAUCAGGCAUACCUACAGGUGCUUUGUUAAAAUGGCAAUGGGUGGCUUUAUAAAAAAAAAAUUAAAAAGCUACUUGCUGUUUAGGUUCAGACCAUAUAUCUCUUUUCUUGCUGUGCAUUUGCUUUCUAAUUCACUGUUCAGUAUCAAGCAACAAAGCAAGAGAAGCGCAGGUUAGUUUUUCCCAGGCCUGACUCCGCUUCGCCCCAGUCCCCUCCCAGCUAGCACUGUGCUCCGCUGAUGCUUCUCGGCCGUUUUAAAACAGAUGUGAGGAGAGAGGAUAGUAACUCAAAUUAGAGCUGCAGUUCCAGAGUAAUAUUAAGCGAUCUAACGUGGCUCCUGCUAGUACUGUUCUAUUAUAUCAGCUCUUGUUUCGCGGCUCCCGGGGAGAGGAUGCUCCUGUGUGCCGCGGGCUGGAGUCGCCAGUACUCACAUCCAGCCUCCCAGCAGCAGCCUCCAACCUCUGCCUGGAAACUACUUAACUUCAUUUAAAAAUAAAAUUAAAAUAAAAAAUAAAAAAAAAACAAGUAAAAGACAAAAUAAAACCGUCAAACAUAUUGUCAACCACAGGGGAAAUGUUCAAUGGAAUAUCUGCAUACUAAUUACCUCUAAUCGACAAUAUGUAUUUUCUGUAGUUUACUGUAGAGUUUUAUUUCAUCAGUAACAUACAAUGAGAAAGAAACUCAUUUAAACCAGUCUGACCCUUAGGCGUUUAGUUUGCUGAUGAUAGAUUUGAACUUUUAAUAGGAUUAAAAAAAAAAAAAAAAAAGGAUUACACGAGGAAAGUCUUGUUAAAAAUAAGUAUUUCCAACAAAAUGUAAUAUAAAAUCAUUUUAAAAGUUCAUAGGAGAAUAAUUUAUUGUUCGAGUUUUUAACAAGAUAUUGACAAGGUAUUGUUUUCAUUUUCUGUUCAUGAAACUGUGAUUUCUUUUCCAACUUCUGAACGCAGCCCCGUCCCCAGCGCGGGUGAGCGAGCGCCAGCUGGGCGCUUAGGAGUUGUAUUUAAACAAACAUUUUUCUUAAAAGCUGUACAAAAGAUGUAUGUUUAUCAAAUCCAUUUUUAAGAGUGGAGGCUUCACACUAGUGAAGGGAGUUUGGUAAAUGGUUCGAUAUUUUUUAAACUUGCAUGUAAAGCUAAAACAAAACGUGUUGAGUGCUUACCAAUUCUGGCUACCAACUUCAAGCUGUUGGAAGUUCGGCAGCAGUCUCACGAUGAUUUGUUUCGGUAUACUCUUUUCAUUUGUUUUGCUUUGGGGGAUUUCAGGGUUCUUUCCUUUGUCUUUUAUUUUUUUUCCUCUUUUUUUGUUUUUUGUUUUUGGUAAUUUAAGUUCCUAUUUUCAGUCGUUGAAACUGCACUUCAGUGAGCAGAAAAAAACGCCAAGCAAACUAAUGGCUGUAAAAGCAUAAACUGCAUGUGUGGGCAUCAAUUACUGAGCCUCAUUUUAAUGAGGUGUUGUACAAAGAGUUUUAAUACAUUUUGUAAAUAAAACUGUAAAGAAAAAAAAA